AGGUUUGGCUCAAGUCCUCAGCAGCAUUGCUCUUGCUUAAUGUGAAACUUGGAAGCAACCCUGGGUAAACAAGCCAGGCUAAUAUUCUACAGGCUGAUCAUAACUACUUGAAGGAGAAGAAGACCAACUGAACUGCUGUAUGAUACCGCAUUAUCCAAGUCAGUCUAACAGGGAGACCGUGGGAAUGGAUGGACCUCAUGCUGGAUGCCUACAUGGAUGUGGGGGUUCCAGGCCCUUUUGGGAAGUGCAAUGCUGCAAAGGAUUUAGUACAUCACUGAAGUCAAACAUGGCUACGAAUCAGAUUCACUGCGUGUGACAGAAGACGAGUAAGCUAAGCUCUGUUUCGGUGCUCUUGGAUGAGGUGACAUCACUUAUGUACUAUCUGAACCAUCUGAAACGUCUCUAAUAAUGAUAAAAGCAUUUUAGGCUGGAAAAGAUCCUGAAGAUCAUUGGGUCCAGUCAUCCACCUAACUACCAAGUCCAGCACUUAACAGAAGCUGACUGCUCUGCCUGCUCAAAGCCAUCCUACACUCGACAGCAGCAGCUGGCCACAAGUCUUCAGCCAGAACAACCAUUAAAUUACACCAACAAUGACUGAAAUUGCUAACAAGCCAUCCUCCCCACCAGAGAGGGGAAGGGACCGUGACUAGGGGUCUCCAGGCUAUAAAUGAGCCAUGUUGUGACUCGAGAGCCAGACUGCUCUGCCCUACCUGCAGCACACCUGGCCCACAGACCUUCUUGCCUCCAGCAGGAAAGGCCCACUCAUCUGCCCUUCUCCACCCAACACUUCUCUAGCCGAAAGCUCCGGGUGUUUUGUGGUGCAAAAUUGUUCA
This 833-nucleotide long non-coding RNA is filed under the name Gallus gallus (chicken). Its description in RNAcentral is "lncRNA (ENSGALG00010015824.1)". Lineage: Eukaryota; Metazoa; Chordata; Aves; Galliformes; Phasianidae. The record is from RNAcentral.